RNAcentral lists this ribosomal RNA (253 nucleotides) under uncultured bacterium. Its description in RNAcentral is "partial 16S ribosomal RNA". It matches the Rfam family "Bacterial small subunit ribosomal RNA", at positions 524 to 776 of the family's 1533-position model. The record is from RNAcentral.
UACAGAGGGUGCAAGCGUUGUCCGGAAUUAUUGGGCGUAAAGAGCUCGUAGGCGGUUUGUCGCGUCUGCUGUGAAAACUCGGGGCUUAACUCCGGGCCUGCAGUGGGUACGGGCAGACUAGAGUGCGGUAGGGGAGACUGGAAUUCCUGGUGUAGCGGUGAAAUGCGCAGAUAUCAGGAGGAACACCGGUGGCGAAGGCGGGUCUCUGGGCCGUAACUGACGCUGAGGAGCGAAAGCGUGGGGAGCGAACAGG